RNAcentral lists this non-coding RNA (502 nucleotides) under Tetranychus urticae (two-spotted spider mite). RNAcentral's name for it is "Eukaryotic small subunit ribosomal RNA". It matches the Rfam family "Eukaryotic small subunit ribosomal RNA", at positions 636 to 1116 of the family's 1831-position model. Lineage: Eukaryota; Metazoa; Arthropoda; Arachnida; Trombidiformes; Tetranychidae. The record is from Rfam by way of RNAcentral.
UGGAUAAAGUUUUUCACUUCACUGUCUUUACGGAGAGAAGACUAUGAGACAAUCAGAGCUGAACCUAAACCUAACCUCAACUGGGUUGAGCUUCACAACCAGUCCAGCCUCAUUGAAACAGUCAAAAGUAGUGCUUCUACAAUUGAAUAAGAUUAAAGAUUAUAAUCGAUAUUGGAAACGAUCAAAUUAGUGUGAAAAUAAUCACAACUUUCGGCUUCUCAAAUCUCAUUUUUUUCAACCUACAAAAGUCAACCGUUUAACAAACAAGACAAGUGUUUUGGUCUUAAGAAUCCAUGUUUAGUGCUUGAUGGGAGAUUCUAAGACAGACUACAGCGAAAGCAUUUGCCAAGAACGUUUUCAUUAGUCAAUAACGAAAGUUAGAGGUUCAAAGGUGAUCAGAUACUAGUUCUAACCAUAAACGAUGCUAAACAGCGAUCAUUCUGAGUAACUAAUUUCAUAACCCGAAUCGAAGCUUCUGGGAAACCAAAGUUUUUGAGUUCCG